GGGCCCCUUCGCCUCCGCUCCGACCUGUGGGGCGGGGGCUGCAAGCGCCGCCGGUUUUCAGAUGAGGAAACUGAGGCGGACCGUUUGGCGGCUCACAGCGUUUACUGUGUUUUAUCAGGAGCAGGGAGGUGGAGGCCAAAAAGUGAAGCAGAAACUGGAAAGCCUGCCAGAGAGUGGGCUGGCACUGAAAGAGCGGCGAGGCUGGAAGACUGAGGGAAAGCUUCAAACUUAGCUAAAGACACUUGGAAAGAGAAGAGAAGACAAAAGAAAAGGAAAGGAGACAAGAGGAGAGAAGAAAAAGAAGA
Long non-coding RNA from Sarcophilus harrisii (Tasmanian devil), 305 nucleotides. RefSeq lists it as uncharacterized. The transcript is spliced from 3 exons. The record is from RefSeq and is a predicted model, not a curated record. Lineage: Eukaryota; Metazoa; Chordata; Mammalia; Dasyuromorphia; Dasyuridae.